Molecule: non-coding RNA, 117 nt
Filed under: Homo sapiens (human)
Lineage: Eukaryota; Metazoa; Chordata; Mammalia; Primates; Hominidae
Source: Rfam by way of RNAcentral
GCCGGGCGUGGUGGCUCACUCCUGUAAUCCCACCACUUUAGGAGGCUGGGGCAGGUGGAUCACCUGAGGUCAGGAGUUCUAGACCAGCCUGGCCAACAUGGUGAAACCCUGUCUCUA